Molecule: long non-coding RNA, 784 nt
Organism: Sarcophilus harrisii (Tasmanian devil)
Lineage: Eukaryota; Metazoa; Chordata; Mammalia; Dasyuromorphia; Dasyuridae
Exons: 3
Source: RefSeq, a predicted model, not a curated record
UUUGGAGGUGUGUAGGGAAAGGAAGGAUACCAUGUCUGGGCCAAAUUGUUUCCAAUAAUUAUUGAUGCUGAGAUUUAAAUGAAGAAGUCAAAUAAUUUGAUCUUUCUGUCAAAGCAACCCAAAGAGCCCAAGGAGGCAUGGGGAGAUCUAGACACAAAAUCAUAUCUCUUGGACAACUUUGCAACAUCACGGACUUCCAUCUGCAGCCUUGGCAAAGAUGCAGGCUACCUUGGCACUCAAGACCAGACCACUGAGGAAGAUUUCAUCCCACUCCUUCCUCCUGUGCCAAGGACACCGAUGAGGAACAAGAUUGGCAAGACUCGAGUGUCAAGGAUGAACGACGAUAGUAAUUUUGAACACCAAAUGAACUUCCAGUCCUUCAGGGCACACAGACCAUCCAUAGCUCAGAGAUUAUAUCCAACCCAGCAGAAGAAUUCUAUGUUCUUCUGGAGUAAGAGAAUGAAUAUUUGGGCUCACAAGGAACAAAGCCACCCUGGCAGGUUCUCCCAUCGCCUCCAGAGAAUAAUUUCAUUUUUGAGAUACUUAUGCAGGUGCGCCUAUACUUGUCAGAAUCCAAAGGAAAAAAAAGUCAUUCAAAGUCAAGAAGUACCAAGCUAGGGCAGUUUACCACCCGAGACUUGGGUGAGAGCCAGAAGAGCCAAAAGUAAUGAUGCCUUAUGACCUGAAGCUACCCAAGAACUCCCAGGAAAGAGAUGCUUGGAAGUUAGAAAUGACAUGUUUCCUGGUUGGAAAUAAAAGCAAAAUUUAAUUUUGCUACUGAUAA